This 495-nucleotide ribosomal RNA is filed under the name uncultured bacterium. Its description in RNAcentral is "partial 16S ribosomal RNA". It matches the Rfam family "Bacterial small subunit ribosomal RNA", at positions 30 to 507 of the family's 1533-position model. The record is from RNAcentral.
UGAACGCUGGCGGCGUGCCUAAUACAUGCAAGUCGAGCGAACGGACGAGAAGCUUGCUUCUCUGAUGUUAGCGGCGGACGGGUGAGUAACACGUGGAUAACCUACCUAUAAGACUGGGAUAACUUCGGGAAACCGGAGCUAAUACCGGAUAAUAUUUUGAACCGCAUGGUUCAAAAGUGAAAGACGGUCUUGCUGUCACUUAUAGAUGGAUCCGCGCUGCAUUAGCUAGUUGGUAAGGUAACGGCUUACCAAGGCAACGAUGCAUAGCCGACCUGAGAGGGUGAUCGGCCACACUGGAACUGAGACACGGUCCAGACUCCUACGGGGGGCAGCAGUAGGGAAUCUUCCGCAAUGGGCGAAAGCCUGACGGAGCAACGCCGCGUGAGUGAUGAAGGUCUUCGGAUCGUAAAACUCUGUUAUUAGGGAAGAACAUAUGUGUAAGUAACUGUGCACAUCUUGACGGUACCUAAUCAGAAAGCCACGGCUAACUACGUG